GCUAAGUACGUGGCAUCGGCGGGGGUAAAACGAGGUGGGGUAGGGUUGCUGGGAGUCACUGGGCGUGAAGGGCGCGUAGGCGGCCGGCCAAGUCGGGGGGGCAAGCCUGUGGCUCAACCACAGAAUGGCCCGCGAUACUGGACGGCUCGAGACCGGAAGAGGGUGGUGGAAUUGCGAGUGUAGAGGUGAAAUUCGUAGAGAUUCGCAAGAACACCGGUGGCGAAGGCGGCCAACUGGUCCGGAUCUGACGCUGAGGCGCGAAAGCGUGGGGAGCAAACAGGAUUAGAUACCCCAGUAGUC
Molecule: ribosomal RNA, 300 nt
Filed under: uncultured Deferribacter sp.
Lineage: Bacteria; Pseudomonadati; Deferribacterota; Deferribacteres; Deferribacterales; Deferribacteraceae
Description: bacterial SSU rRNA
Rfam family: Bacterial small subunit ribosomal RNA
Source: RNAcentral